This 467-nucleotide ribosomal RNA is filed under the name uncultured bacterium. Its description in RNAcentral is "partial 16S ribosomal RNA". It matches the Rfam family "Bacterial small subunit ribosomal RNA", at positions 28 to 507 of the family's 1533-position model. The record is from RNAcentral.
GACGAACGCUGGCGGCGUGCUUAACACAUGCAAGUCGAACGGAAAGGCCCUGCUUUUGUGGGGUGCUCGAGUGGCGAACGGGUGAGUAACACGUGAGUACCUGCCCUUGACUUUGGGAUAACUUCAGGAAACUGGGGCUAAUACCGGAUAGGAGCUCCUGCUGCAUGGUGGGGGUUGGAAAGUUUCGGCGGUUGGGGAUGGACUCGCGGCUUAUCAGCUUGUUGGUGGGGUAGUGGCUUACCAAGGCUUUGACGGGUAGCCGGCCUGAGAGGGUGACCGGCCACAUUGGGACUGAGAUACGGCACAGACUCCUACGGGAGGCAGCAGUGGGGAAUAUUGCACAAUGGGCGGAAGCCGGAUGCAGCAACGCCGCGUGCGGGAUGACGGCCUUCGGGUUGUAAACCGCUUUCGCCUGUGACGAAGCGUGAGUGACGGUAAUGGGUAAAGAAGCACCGGCUAACUACGUG